UUAGAUGGUUGGAUGACUGCUGGUUACAUGUUCGUAGGAAUUUUGUGACUGGAGGAAAGUCCGGGCUCCACGGAAAUGCGAUGCCGGGUAACGCCCGGCGGGGGGAACCCUAGGGAAAGUGCCGCAGAAAGCAAACCGCCUGGCUCUUUGAGCUUAGGUAAGGGUGAAAGGGUGUGGUAAGAGCGCACCGCAGCUUUAGUAAUAAAGCUGGCAUGGUAAACCCCAUCGGGAGCAAGACCAAAUAGGAAUGACGAACGAUAGUAGUAAUACUAUAGUUGGUGUGUUUUCGCACUGUCAUUCGGGUAGGUCGCGAGAGGCGGUUGGCGACAAUCGUCCCAGAGGAAUGGUCAUCCACUCCAUCAAUUUUUUAAUUGAUGGAGUGACAGAACCCGGCUUAUAGACUGUCUAACCUA
Molecule: RNase P RNA, 413 nt
Filed under: Rhodospirillaceae bacterium
Lineage: Bacteria; Pseudomonadati; Pseudomonadota; Alphaproteobacteria; Rhodospirillales; Rhodospirillaceae
Also listed under: 1 other name
Description: RNase P RNA component class A
Rfam family: Bacterial RNase P class A
About the family: Ribonuclease P (RNase P) is a ubiquitous endoribonuclease, found in archaea, bacteria and eukarya as well as chloroplasts and mitochondria.
Source: RNAcentral